GCAUUCUCUGAAGCAGUUGAGUCAGUAGAUUCUGGAUGUUGGUGUUGACUGUGUCCUGUUGAUCCAAUCUGGCUCGGACUUCCUUCUGCUCUUUCUGAAGCUCCUCAAGGGUCUUGAGAACUAGAGGGGCAAAUGUAGAGGACUCCCCCUGAGUCAGAGCAUUCUGUUCUUCAGCGCGGAGAGCUUCAGCUUCAGUAGUGGCUUUAGCUUUAGCUUCAACAGUAACUCUUGC
This 232-nucleotide long non-coding RNA is filed under the name Lathyrus oleraceus (garden pea). Its description in RNAcentral is "Pisum sativum (pea) long non-coding RNA (PSAT_LNC033166)". Lineage: Eukaryota; Viridiplantae; Streptophyta; Magnoliopsida; Fabales; Fabaceae. The record is from RNAcentral.